UACGAAGGGGGCGAGCGUUGUUCGGAUUUACUGGGCGUAAAGGGCGCGCAGGCGGUCUUUCAAGUCGGGUGUGAAAGCCCCGGGCUCAACCCGGGAACUGCACUCGAGACUGGAAGACUAGAGUUCGGGAGAGGAUGGUGGAAUUCCCAGUGUAGAGGUGAAAUUCGUAGAUAUUCGGAAGAACACCAGUGGCGAAGGCGGCUCACUGGACCGGCAUUGACGCUGAGGUGCGAAAGCGUGGGGAGCAAACAGG
This 253-nucleotide ribosomal RNA is filed under the name uncultured bacterium. Its description in RNAcentral is "partial 16S ribosomal RNA". It matches the Rfam family "Bacterial small subunit ribosomal RNA", at positions 524 to 776 of the family's 1533-position model. The record is from RNAcentral.